RNAcentral lists this transfer RNA (72 nucleotides) under Camelus bactrianus (Bactrian camel). It matches the Rfam family "tRNA". From Rfam's summary of the family: Transfer RNA (tRNA) molecules are approximately 80 nucleotides in length. Their secondary structure includes four short double-helical elements and three loops (D, anti-codon, and T loops). Further hydrogen bonds mediate the characteristic L-shaped molecular structure. tRNAs have two regions of fundamental functional importance: the anti-codon, which is responsible for specific mRNA codon recognition, and the 3' end, to which the tRNAs corresponding amino acid is attached (by aminoacyl-tRNA synthetases). tRNAs cope with the degeneracy of the genetic code in two manners: having more than one tRNA (with a specific anti-codon) for a particular amino acid; and 'wobble' base-pairing, i.e. permitting non-standard base-pairing at the 3rd anti-codon position. The record is from Rfam by way of RNAcentral. Lineage: Eukaryota; Metazoa; Chordata; Mammalia; Artiodactyla; Camelidae. RNAcentral also lists the same sequence under 3 other names.
GAGGGUAUAGCUCAGUGGUAAAGUGCAUCCUUAGCAUGCAUGAGGUCCUGAGUUCAAUCCCCAGUGCCUCCA